GUUUCUGUAGUGUAGUGUUUAUCGCUACGCCUCACAUACAAAAGGUCCCUAGUUCGAAACCGGGAAGAAAACA
Ameiurus melas (black bullhead) is the source of this 73-nucleotide non-coding RNA. The record is from the annotation of a GenBank genome assembly. NCBI's taxonomy places the organism in Eukaryota, Metazoa, Chordata, Actinopteri, Siluriformes, Ictaluridae.